GAUAAUGUCAGAUAAAUAUUGGUCGAUAAGCUUUUUUUUUUUCAUAAAAUAUAUAACUAUUCACUUAUACCACCGAAUCGCGACAUUUCUCGAACUUUACAUGGAAUUGUUUGUUAUUUAUUAAUCUCGCAGCGGAAGAACCGUCGAUUCAUCGAAAUCACUGAUAUCACUAACAUAAUAUUGGGACGAACAAUAAAAAUCGUAUAUCGGCACUUUCCUUUGUCAAUAGUUUCUGGGACAACGGGGGCGAUUGUUCGUUUACGAUCGUUAAAAAUGCUUAACAUUGAGAUUUGAAAACUUCCCAAGUUUAAUUGCCGAUCGAAGAUAGGAGUACAAUUUACGUGGAGAUAAAUCUUGAGGGGGAACAUUUCCAUAUAAAAAAAAAAAAAGGAACGAGACAAAUUAAAUAGGAAAAUCUUUGGACGUUGUGUUUAAACGUGUAUCGAAUGGAAUAUUAAAUAUUGGUUUUUAACGAAUUAUAAUAAUUUUAUUGGAAAUAUACGAUAUUGCAUUAUCACAUUGGAAAACGUGCAACUUGGGAAUCGUGUUGAACGCGUUGAACGUUUCAUUACAUUUUAAUCGGUGAAGAUUAAGUAAUAUACGUAUAUCCACAAUAAGUUAUUAUUUCGAACAGUAAGAAAUGUAUAAAACGUAUUGCUUUUUUUCUUUUUACAAUAUAUUAAAAUGAUAUUUUAUAGAUAUUCAAUACUCGAAUCAGUUAUAUAAAAAAUAUGACUGUAUAUGAACAUUUUUAUAUUUAAAUAUUUUGGCAAAAAUUCAGAAGAUUACACCUCGAUUGAUAGCGACACGGUUGGCCGAGUCAUUUAUAUAUCUACCACUAUCAUUUGUUCUUCGAAAAUAAUUUUUCUCGACUAAAAUUACGCGUAAUUAUAUAAAAAAAUUGCAUAUUAAUACAAUUUGAAAAAAAUGAAAUAAAGGACUUUGAAAAAAAUAAUUACUUUACCAAAAAAAAAUUAAAAAAUAUUAAGCUUCAAAAAUACCAAACUUUCCUUUUCUAUCAAAACUCCAUUAUCAUCCAUUAAUUUUAUCAUUAAUAAUUUGAUACUGAAACGAAAUAUUUUCGAUGAAAAAAAUAUAUAUAUAUAGAAAAACAAUUAAUUACUUUUUAACUAUUCAAAAUCGAUCACUUGAGGAUUAUACCAUCGGAAAACUUAUCGGAAAUGGUAUCGGUUCUUCGUGCUUCUAGCCUCUCUCGAAACCAUUCUCUUCCACCAUAAUCUCCAUUCCUCUUUUUAUCCACAAGGAUAACCGCAUGGUGUAUGCAUCGGUUACGCUCGUCCACGCUUUUAAUCAAAAGAUACAAAGGACCGGUGUUGCUGUUUGUUUGGCGUCCCCUCGAAAACGCGACGAUACAGAGGAUCCGUAACACGAUUUUCAACGAUACAUCUAGGAAGUCCCUUUGAUCAAGGAACAAGCAGCUCGCGAUGGAAAUCCGCAAAGAGGAAAAUACACAGUCGAUUCCCUGAGGGUGGAAGGAGAUCAUCGAGAAUCGAUCGUCGAACGAAAUUGAAUAACUCUGCUCGAUGAAAAUCUAUCUUUUGGAGGAGAUUCUUUCUUUAAGAAUUCUUUCGAUAUAUAUAUAUAUACUCUUAACGAUAUGACCAAAGGAAAAUUCAUUUUCUACAUAAACUUUUUUAAAUCUUUUUUGAUAUCUUAUAUUUUUAUCUUUGUUUUCUCUAUAGUUUCUUUCUUGUUCCAGAAUAUUAAAAAUUUGAAAAAAAUUAGAAUCAUUUUUGUAAUAUUUGUUAAUAAAUUUAUUUGAAAUCGA
Apis cerana (Asiatic honeybee) is the source of this 1789-nucleotide long non-coding RNA. RefSeq lists it as uncharacterized. The record is from RefSeq and is a predicted model, not a curated record. Lineage: Eukaryota; Metazoa; Arthropoda; Insecta; Hymenoptera; Apidae.